UCCACCCUAGCGUAUUGCGUAGGCGCCGGCGCCGAGGGGUGCGGAGGCGGGGCGGUGCCUAAGGUGGAGGGGAAAGAGGAGGAGCGGAAACCAUGACAACUCCCUUCUGGCCCUGGCUGUUCCCGGCCCCGCCGUUGCCCCUAGCAACCGGGAGACUUUGGCCGGCACUAAAAAGGAGAUUGGGAACAUCCCGAGUUCCUUCAGUGGAUCCUCAUAUGGCAUGAUGUUGAGGCCUUUUGCCAUUCUUUUCACCUUCGUUUGGACACGGAUCUUCAAAUUCUUUCCUCAGAUUGGCCCCCUGAACUGAAUAUGAUACCUCAGAUAUAGUCUUAUCAAGAUAAUGUGGGUAGAAGAGACCCCAUCAACCAUUUAACGGCAGAAUGGUACAGUGAAAAGACUGCUGGAUUUGAAGACAAAGGACCUGCAUUUGAAACCCACUUCUGACUCAUAUUACUUGUGUGUCCUUGGGCGAUUGGGGUUAAGUGACUUGCCCAGAAUCAUAUGGCUAGUAAAGCACAGCACCUCCUUUGAUUCCGGCAUUCCAUGCUGGGUGGUCCUGGGCCAGUGUCUCCCACUUCACACGGUCAAUUCCAGAGUUCUUCAGAGAGACCUUGAAAGUGUCCUUUUGUUGCUUCUUCUGACCUCCAUAGCCUCCCAAAGACUGAGCUAGCACUGGCAGUGUGUGAGUCAACCUCAUCAUUUAUGUGUACUUCCUUGAAAAGUAUACUGCCAAG
Molecule: long non-coding RNA, 734 nt
Organism: Vombatus ursinus (common wombat)
Lineage: Eukaryota; Metazoa; Chordata; Mammalia; Diprotodontia; Vombatidae
Exons: 6
Source: RefSeq, a predicted model, not a curated record